AGAGUUUGAUCCUGGCUCAGAACGAACGCUAGCGGCGGGCUUAAGACAUGCAAGUCGAACGAGAAAGUUCCUUCGGGAAUGAGUAAAGUGGCGGACGGGUGCGUAACACGUGAGCAACCUGCCUUUUUGUGGGGGAUAACCUCUCGAAAGAGGGGCUAAUACCGCAUAAUGCUGAGGAGUCCACGGGCUCCUUUGAGAAAGCUGCCCUCUACACGUAAGGUGGCGCAGAAAGAUGGGCUCGCGUUCCAUUAGCUUGUUGGUGAGGUAACGGCUCACCAAGGCUGCGAUGGAUAGCUGGUCUGAGAGGAUGACCAGCCACACUGGGACUGAGAUACGGCCCAGACUCCUACGGGAGGCAGCAGUCAGGAAUAUUGUGCAAUGGGGGAAACCCUGACACAGCCACGCCGCGUGGGUGAUGAAGGCCUUCGGGUCGUAAAACCCUGUCAGGAGGGACGAAACACAGGCCGGUUAAUACCCGGUCUGCUUGACGGUACCUCCAGAGGAAGCACCGGCUAACUACGUGCCAGCAGCCGCGGUAAAACGUAGGGUGCAAGCGUUGUUCGGAAUUACUGGGCGUAAAGCGCGUGUAGGUGGUUGGUUAAGUCCAGCGUGAAAGCCCUCGGCUCAACCGGGGAAGUGCGUUGGAAACUGGCCAACUCGAGUUCGGGAGAGGGAAGUGGAAUUCCUGGUGUAGCGGUGAAAUGCGUAGAUAUCAGGAGGAACACCAGUGGCGAAGGCGGCUUCCUGGCCCGAAACUGACACUAAAACGCGAAAGCGUGGGGAUCAAACAGGAUUAGAUACCCUGGUAGUCCACGCCGUAAACGGUGGGUACUAGGUGUGGGAGGCAUUGACCCCUUCCGUGCCGACGCUAACGCAUUAAGUACCCCGCCUGGGGAGUACGGCCGCAAGGCUAAAACUCAAAGGAAUUGACGGGGGCCCGCACAAGCGGUGGAGUAUGUGGUUCAAUUCGAUGCAACGCGCAGAACCUUACCUGGGCUUGAAAAUCAUGCGAAUCCCGCGGAAACGCGGGAGUGCCCUUCGGGGAACGCUUGAACAGGUGCUGCAUGGCUGUCGUCAGCUCGUGUCGUGAGAUGUUGGGUUAAGUCCCGCAACGAGCGCAACCCUUGCCUCUAGUUGCCAGCUCUUCGGGAGGGGACUCUAGAGGGACCGCCGGUGAUAAACCGGAGGAAGGUGGGGAUGAUGUCAAGUCCUCAUGGCCCUUAUGCCCAGGGCUACACACGUACUACAAUGGCUGGUACAAAGGGCUGCGAUCCCGCGAGGGGGAGCCAAUCCCAAAAAACCAGCCCCAGUUCAGAUUGGAGUCUGCAACUCGACUCCAUGAAGGUGGAAUCGCUAGUAAUCGCGGAUCAGCACGCCGCGGUGAAUACGUUCCCGGGCCUUGUACACACCGCCCGUCACACCACGAAAGUUGGCUGGACCAGAAGUCGCUGGACCAACCCGCAAGGGGGGUAGGCGCCAAAGGUCUGGUUGAUGAUUGGGGUGAAGUCGUAACAAGGUA
This 1519-nucleotide ribosomal RNA is filed under the name metagenome. RNAcentral describes it as "bacterial SSU rRNA". It matches the Rfam family "Bacterial small subunit ribosomal RNA". The record is from RNAcentral.